Carassius auratus (goldfish) is the source of this 130-nucleotide long non-coding RNA. RefSeq lists it as uncharacterized. NCBI's taxonomy places the organism in Eukaryota, Metazoa, Chordata, Actinopteri, Cypriniformes, Cyprinidae. The transcript has 2 exons. The record is from RefSeq and is a predicted model, not a curated record.
UUAAUAAGAUUGUUUGUUAAGAAGAUCUCUAAUGUCUCCUGAAUCCUGAUUGGAAAGCACACGUUUUUCACGGUUCUCAGAUGUUUGUGAUGACAAGGGGACAGACAUUAAAACUGAAAAUCUGAAUCUG